Molecule: ribosomal RNA, 459 nt
Filed under: uncultured bacterium
Lineage: Bacteria
Description: partial 16S ribosomal RNA
Rfam family: Bacterial small subunit ribosomal RNA
Source: RNAcentral
CCUACGGGAGGCUGCAGUGAGGAAUAUUGGUCAAUGGGCGGGAGCCUGAACCAGCCAAGCCGCGUGAGGGAAGAAGGUACAGCGUAUCGUAAACCUCUUUUGUCAGGGAACAAAGGCGGGGACUCGUCCCCGGAUGCGGGUACCUGAAGAAAAAGCAUCGGCUAACUCCGUGCCAGCAGCCGCGGUAAUACGGAGGAUGCGAGCGUUAUCCGGAUUUAUUGGGUUUAAAGGGUGCGCAGGCGGCCUGUUAAGUCAGCGGUAAAAGCCCGGGGCUCAACCCCGGCGAGCCGUUGAAACUGGCGGGCUGGAGUUGGAGAGAAGUACGCGGAAUGCGCGGUGUAGCGGUGAAAUGCUUAGAUAUCGCGCAGAACCCCGAUUGCGAAGGCAGCGCACCGGAUCCACACUGACGCUGAGGCACGAAAGCGUGGGUAUCGAACAGGAUUAGAUACCCUAGUAGUC